This 253-nucleotide ribosomal RNA is filed under the name uncultured bacterium. RNAcentral describes it as "partial 16S ribosomal RNA". It matches the Rfam family "Bacterial small subunit ribosomal RNA", at positions 524 to 776 of the family's 1533-position model. The record is from RNAcentral.
UACGUAGGGUGCGAGCGUUGUCCGGAAUUAUUGGGCGUAAAGAGCUUGUAGGCGGUUUGUCGCGUCUGCUGUGAAAAUCCGGGGCUCAACCCCGGACUUGCAGUGGGUACGGGCAGACUAGAGUGUGGUAGGGGAGACUGGAAUUCCUGGUGUAGCGGUGAAAUGCGCAGAUAUCAGGAGGAACACCGGUGGCGAAGGCGGUUCUCUGGGCAUGUCCUGACGCUGAGGAGCGAAAGCGUGGGGAGCGAACAGG